CCCAAGGCUGGAGCCAGCUCUCUGAGCACUAAGUGAAGGAGCCCGCGAUGAAAACUGAAACCUGCUGUCUAUGUACCGCAGUGAGGACAGAAUCUGGGGUUAAAGGGGGGCUAAAGGUUGAAGUGCCAGAGUCGAGAGGACUGGUCGCUGGUGUGACGAGAUAAGAGGACGGAGAGGGCUCUGGGCCAGCAGCGAUAGGCCGGCUGCCUCUGAGUCCCCAAAGCCCUUGAGAGACUAACAAGGAGACUACUCCAGAUCACCUAUAGGCGAGGAGCUAAAUAGAAACAACCAGGAAGAUGGCUGCACAUCUUGGUGGCUGUGACGUCUCUGCAUGGUGAGCCGACAGGGGAUUCACAACGGAGAGACACUGGAAACAGCUUGGAUGUCCCCUAACAGAAGAAUGGAUAAAGAAAAUGCAGUUCAUGUAUAAACUGAGGACAUGGCCCCUCCAAGUUUGUCCUACCUGCAGAGUGUUCUGGGAAUGAAGCCGACAGAGUAGUCAUCAAAGAGAUCGGAGAGACUUCAUCCAGCAACCGACGGGAGCAGAUGCAGAGUCCCACAGCCAAACGUUAGGCAGAGCUCUCUGAGUCCCAUUGAGGAGGAACAGGAAGGACUGGAGGAACCGGAAGGAGCAGGGACACUACAAGAACAUGGCCCACAGAAUCAGCUGACUGGGACUCAAGGGGGUCACAGAAAUCAGGGACCCUGUAGGGUUCUGCCCUAGAUCCUCUGCGUGUACGGUUGUUGCCAGGACUAAAGGUUGCUCUCUACAACGCGACAGCAAGACCUCCCUGUUGAAGACAAUACCUACACAACUGAUUGACUGUGAAGAAGCUGGAGUCUACACAGAGCCUUCACCCCUACAUUCUAGCGACUUUGGUAUAGGAAGGUCCUCUGCAUACUACCAAAGGAGAAAUGUAAGCCCCAAUCCAGCCAUAAAACCCUUUCAUCUUUAAUGGUGUCCUGCCUGCAAGAUAUACUAGUACAAUAAUGACACAAACUUGUGGGGGUCAUCAGCCAAUAUCUUAUUUGAUAUACGGCCCACUCCAUGAGAAGGAACCCAUACCUGACACUGCUUUGGUGACCAAGAACCUGAGAGUAGAUAACCCAGGGACGAAGGUAAAACCAAAUACUGUUGUUCUAAAAAAAUGUAGCAAUAAAAUGAUGUCUAAUGACAUUCUGCUAUCCUCAUAGAUCAGGGCAUUAUUCAGCCUUCAUUCUGUAGCAGAUGGAAACAAAUACCCACAAUAAAUAAUAAGUUAAAAUACA
This is a non-coding RNA of Myodes glareolus (Bank vole), 1269 nucleotides long. The record is from RefSeq and is a predicted model, not a curated record. Lineage: Eukaryota; Metazoa; Chordata; Mammalia; Rodentia; Cricetidae.